GCCACAUGAUGUUUUGAUGUUGAGCGAGCGCUGCGCGGUGACGACCUUAAUCUAUCACCCUUGACUGAUGGCU
This is a small nucleolar RNA of Rhinolophus ferrumequinum (greater horseshoe bat), 73 nucleotides long. Its record names the gene SNORD83. It matches the Rfam family "Small nucleolar RNA SNORD83". Rfam says of the family: U83 (SNORD83) and U84 (SNORD84) are members of the C/D class of snoRNA which contain the C (UGAUGA) and D (CUGA) box motifs. They act as guanine methylation guides but lack complementarity to ribosomal RNA. U83 and U84 are spliced from introns 5 and 4 of the BAT1 gene in mammals. The record is from Ensembl. Lineage: Eukaryota; Metazoa; Chordata; Mammalia; Chiroptera; Rhinolophidae.